GCCCGGUUAGCUCACUCGGUAGAGCGUGAGACUCUUAAUCUCAAGGUUGCGGGUAAGUAGCUCUCCGAGCA
This 71-nucleotide transfer RNA is filed under the name Nemania sp. FL0916. Its description in RNAcentral is "tRNA-Lys". It matches the Rfam family "tRNA". Rfam says of the family: Transfer RNA (tRNA) molecules are approximately 80 nucleotides in length. Their secondary structure includes four short double-helical elements and three loops (D, anti-codon, and T loops). Lineage: Eukaryota; Fungi; Ascomycota; Sordariomycetes; Xylariales; Xylariaceae. The record is from RNAcentral.